GACAUCCAGAGAAUUUAGCAGAGAUGCUUUAGUGCCUUCGGGAACUCUGAGACAAGUGCUGCAUGGCUGUCGUCAGCUCGUGUUGUGAAAUGUUGGGUUAACGUCCGCAACGAGCGCAACCCUUAUCCUUUGUUGCCAGCACGUAAUGGUGGGAACUCAAAGGAGACUGCCGGUGAUAAACCGGAGGAAGGUGGGGAUGACGUCAAGUCAUCAUGGCCCUUACGAGUAGGGCUACACACGUGCUACAAUGGCGUAUACAAAGAGAAGCGACCUCGCGAGAGCAAGCGGACCUCAUAAAGUGCGUCGUAGUCCGGAUUGGAGUCUGCAACUCGACUCCAUGAAGUCGGAAUCGCUAGUAAUCGUAAAUCAGAAUGUUACGGUGAAUACGUUCCCGGGCCUUGUACACACCGCCCGUCACACCAUGGGAGUGGGUUGCAAAAGAAGUAGAUAGCUUAACCUUCGGGAGGGCGUUUACCACUUUGUGAUUCAUGACUGGGGUGAAGUCGUAACAAGGUAAGCGUAGUGCU
Molecule: ribosomal RNA, 527 nt
Filed under: uncultured bacterium
Lineage: Bacteria
Description: bacterial SSU rRNA
Rfam family: Bacterial small subunit ribosomal RNA
Source: RNAcentral